UGCCUACGGGGCGCAGCAGUGAGGAAUAUUGGUCAAUGGGCGCGAGCCUGAACCAGCCAAGUCGCGUGAGGGAUGACGGUCCUACGGAUUGUAAACCUCUUUUGCCGGGGAGCAAGGGCGGGGACGUGUCCCGGCCCGGAGAGUACCCGGAGAAAAAGCAUCGGCUAACUCCGUGCCAGCAGCCGCGGUAAUACGGAGGAUGCGAGCGUUAUCCGGAUUUAUUGGGUUUAAAGGGUGCGUAGGCGGGCUUUUAAGUCAGCGGUAAAAAUUCGGGGCUCAACCCCGUCCGGCCGUUGAAACUGGGG
Molecule: ribosomal RNA, 305 nt
Filed under: uncultured bacterium
Lineage: Bacteria
Description: bacterial SSU rRNA
Rfam family: Bacterial small subunit ribosomal RNA
Source: RNAcentral